RNAcentral lists this ribosomal RNA (360 nucleotides) under Amanita sp. 'penetratrix'. RNAcentral describes it as "eukaryotic LSU rRNA". It matches the Rfam family "Eukaryotic large subunit ribosomal RNA", at positions 1 to 340 of the family's 3401-position model. Lineage: Eukaryota; Fungi; Basidiomycota; Agaricomycetes; Agaricales; Amanitaceae. The record is from RNAcentral.
UCUGACCUCAAAUCAGGUAGGAUUACCCGCUGAACUUAAGCAUAUCAAUAAGCGGAGGAAAAGAAACUAACAAGGAUUCCCUUAGUAACUGCGAGUGAAGUGGGAAAAGCUCAAAUUUAAAAUCUGGCAGUCUGAUUUUUUAUCUUUGGCUGUCCGAGUUGUAAUCUAGAGAAGUGCUACCUGUACUGGACCAUGUAUAAGUCUCCUGGGAUGGAGCAUCAUAGAGGGUGAGAAUCCCGUCUUUGACAUGGACUGCCGGUGUGUUGUGGUGUACUUUCAAAGAGUCGGGUUGUUUGGGAAUGCAGCUCUAAAUGGGUGGUAAACUCCAUCUAAAGCUAAAUAUUGGCGAGAGACCGAUAG